Varroa destructor (honeybee mite) is the source of this 2378-nucleotide long non-coding RNA. NCBI's taxonomy places the organism in Eukaryota, Metazoa, Arthropoda, Arachnida, Mesostigmata, Varroidae. The record is from RefSeq and is a predicted model, not a curated record.
CACCUUGACGGAACACUAAAGUCAUUGUUUAUUUACUUUGCGACAGAUCAAACGGAAAAUAGCCUUCAUACGAACAUGGUCAGCGAACACUGAAUGAGUCUCAGGUAAAGAACGGAGAGACUCAGUGAAAAAGAGUAACAAACGAGCGGAUUAAGCAUGCGGUUCGCCCAGUCAUAAAGAAGCGGCAAUGUACAGAGACGUCGUCAGAUACUCCACCAAAACUACUGCUGUAUUAGAAGCACUUUGGCUUGCGUUGGAUUUUACUUGCAUUGGACCGCUUUCGCCAUCAUGUCGUAUUUUUAAAGCUUAAGGAUCAGCAUUUUACGUUUCGUAUCGUGUGGUCCUAGCGGUACCCCAGCCGACUGAUUUGAACCUAUUUCGACGUGUUUCCUUACACUGCUUGAAAAACAAGGGCAGCCUAUUUGACGUGAGGUAUUGAUUACAGUCACACAAACAAAUGUUCACUGGUUGAUGCCUUUGUUCUCGAUCUAGCUGCCAAAAUCUGUAUUAAUUCGGCUGUUGGUUGUACAUGGGCUUUUUGUCUGAGUUGUGCUGCCUGUCGAUCUGUGCUACGGGUCAAUAUGUUUGUAUUAUUAUUUGCGGGAGCAAUGUUUAAACUUUGUUAAUGGCUAGAACUAAACGUUGCUUAAGAAUAAGCAUGUUGUGUUUUUAAUAUAAUUAUAAUUACUAAUAAACAAAUCUAUUUGUGUAACAAACCGCGAAGUGAAGGAACUAUACAAACAUGAGCAUAUAUCGCCUUACUUCUCUGUCAACGAAAACGCGAGUCUGGGCCGACAUGACACAUAUAUUGAAGGGCAAAUCUCGAAUGUGACUACAGAAGGUCGACAAAAUAGGUUCCUGACAAUUUAUAGCAACGAAAUAGAUGCCACGACGAGAACAGCCUACGUCUACAGGAACGAAGCUAGCUGGCUAGCUCACUGCUAGCUUUGGCACGUGCAAGAAUACCAAAAAUCAAACGAUUCAGGUGAAAUCCCAUAUGCAGCUACAUGGUACCGAAUCAACGAAGACACAGUCUUUCUUGUGGUACUAAAAUGUACCACAGAACAUCUGAGUGAACCAACACCCUUGCGCGGGAAUUAUUAAAUGGAAUAGAUUACAUUGCCAUUGGGAAAACAAAGUAUAUUUCAAAUUUGGCUAUGUGAUAUUUGAGAUAUUGGCGACAGCUGGUUGCCGCGUUAACUCUGACGAGGUUCGGCAAUGAAAUUGCGAUACGUCCUCUUUUUUUUUUUGUUGAAAAGUGUAGCAUAUUGGGAAAACUGCGAGAUAUGUAGCAUCAAUUGGAAAAAUAACUACAAAAGAUGAAAAGACCAUAUUUUGUGUACAUGAAUUCAAAUUUAGUGUUCCUUCUUAUUAUUGUUGUGCUCUGUGCAUAUCGGAGGCUUAAAUAACUAUUUCUGGAAGACAUGGACAUUUUUCCAUUCUCGGUUUGAUUUUUGAGCCACUAUUUAUGCCCUCCAUUGAAUGCACUCACCGCCGAUGGCUAUACAUUCGUUUGGUGCAUUCUAUAACGCAUUAAAUCUUUUCAACUGCAAUGCAAUACGCCUAAGCUUCUUGCGAAACUGCUAAGGCGCACUAACCUGUUAAUGGCUGCUCACUGAUCCAGACGCACAUAUAGAACCCAAGAUUAUUGUAAACAAAAAAGUGCUCAUUGAAAUUUCAUUUUCCAGAAGCGAAACUCAAAAGGGAGAAAAGGUAUUCGAAACAACGCAAGACCUCGAGUCAGUUUAACACAGAUAAUCCACCGAGCACAGAUACGCUCAUCAUUCAUAAAUAUGUUUAAUUCAGCGUUGGUUAACAACUCAACUGUGAAAGAAUUGGCCCGCUCAGGCGCGGCACCAUCCAAGUCAGGCCCUGGUGCUUCGAAAACCGAUGAUGUUGCUAUCGUGAAUGACGUUCGUAAUAUAGUAACGACGACGAAACCACACAAGGCAGGAGCAUGGAGACCAACGUGCACGGAGACGAUGUGCGUUUACACGAUGUCGACGGGCAGGAUGAUGGAAGGAUCCGUAUACACACCAAGCAGGAGCUGUUUGAAAGCAUGAAAAUGCACGGAGAGACAUGUACAACAAUCGCUUGAAACAGGUCAUGCUAAGAACAAACUAUUAACGGAACGACCAGACUUUGUACUAUGAUGGGGCAAAAGAAAUUAAUGCCACUGAAUCCGAACUAUUAGUGGUUUUAGAUCUACCGAUCUGUACGCUAAGGUUGACUCAUGCACAUCGAAAUGACAAGUAUUGCGUUGAGAUUUGGAAGAGCUCAAUGAACAAGCAAACUAUUCCAGUUAAUACGCUAAUUAUAGCUAGGCUGUUGGAAAAUUAAUUUCUCAUGCUAGGAUAGAAUCAUAAAAGUGCAGCCGA